GUGUUGUGACUGGGGAGAAGGGGGGGCUCCAGUCAGCUGGGCGCGCUGCGGGGAGCGGGAGCUGCAGCGGCGCAGAGUCAGCCCCGGCCGCCGCCAUGCCCGGCAUCGACAAGCUGCCCAUCGAGGAGACGCUGGAAGACAGUCCCCAGACCCGGUCUUUGCUGGGAGUAUUUGAAGAAGAUGCUGCUGCAAUUUCCAAUUACAUCAACCAGUUAUUUCAAGCCAUGCACAGAAUAUAUGAUGCACAGAAUGAAUUAAGUGCAGCAACUCAUCUGACUUCAAAGCUUCUGAAGGAAUAUGAGAAACAGCGUUUUCCACUAGGGGGAGAUGAUGAAGUUAUGACUUCCACUCUACAGCAAUUUGCAAAAGUGAUAGAUGAGCUCAGCUCUUGCCAUGCAGUACUUUCAACUCAACUUGCAGAUGCAAUGAUGUUUCCUAUUACCCAGUUUAAAGAAAGGGAUCUAAAAGAGAUAUUAACUCUUAAAGAAGUUUUCCAAAUUGCAAGCAAUGACCAUGAUGCUGCCAUUACCAGAUACAGUCGGUUGUCAAAAAGAAGGGAAAAUGAAAAGAUCAAGGCUGAAGUUACAGAAGAUGUAUAUACUUCCAGGAAAAAACAGCAUCAGACUAUGAUGCAUUAUUUCUGUGCAUUAAAUACUCUUCAGUACAAAAAGAAAAUUGCUAUGCUAGAACCCUUGCUAGGAUACAUGCAAGCUCAGAUAAGUUUUUUUAAAAUGGGUUCAGAAAAUCUUACUGAGCAAUUGGAAGAAUUUUUGACCAAUAUUGGCACAAGCGUACAGAAUGUUCGCAGGGAAAUGGAGUGUGAAGGAGAAAACAUGCAACAAACUAUAGAGGACUUGGAAGUAGCUAGCGAUCCACUUUAUUUGCCUGAUCCUGAUACUACAAAAUUUCCUGUUCAUAGAAACCUAACACGGAAAGCUGGCUAUCUCAAUGCAAGAAAUAAGACAGGGCUGGUAUCUUCCAGUUGGGAGAGACAGUUUUACUUCACUCAAGGUGGAAAUUUGAUGAGCCAGGCAAGAGGGGAUGUCGCUGGGGGGCUUGUCAUGGACAUAGACAAUUGUUCUGUAAUGGCUGUGGACUGCGAAGACAGACGGUACUGUUUUCAGAUAACAUCUUUUGAUGGUAAAAAGUCGUCAAUCUUACAGGCAGAGAGUAAAAAAGAUUAUGAAGAGUGGAUAUGCACCAUAAACAACAUAUCUAAACAGAUAUAUCUAAGUGAAAACCCUGAGGAAAUUGCUGCACGCGUAAAUCAGUCAGCUCUGGAGGCUGUUACUCCAUCUCCUUCCUUUCAGCAGAGGCAUGAGAGUAUGCGGCCAACUGUACAAUCUCGUCCCCCUGCAGCUCGUACCAGCAGCACAGGGUCACUGGGAUCUGAAUCAGCAGCUUUAUCGGCACUUUCUUUGGAUUCACUCGUCGCCCCUGACACUCCUAUCCAAUUUGACAUAAUUUCUCCAGUUAGCGAAGAUCUGCCUGGUCAAGCAAAAUCUUCAGGGCAGUCGGGCAGACGCACAAAUCCUUUUGGUGAAUCUGGAGGCUCAAAAUCUGAAACAGAAGAUUCAAUUCUUCAUCAGCUGUUUAUCGUAAGAUUUCUUGGCUCUAUGGAGGUGAAGUCUGAUGAAAGCCCAGAUGUCGUUUAUGAAACAAUGCGUCAAAUACUAGCAGCUCGUGCCAUCCAUAACAUUUUCAGGAUGACAGAAUCACAUUUAUUAGUCACUUGUGACUGUUUAAAGUUAAUUGAUCCACAGACACAAGUUACGAGACUACGAUUUCCUUUGCCCAAUGUAGUCUUGUAUGCUACACACCAGGAGAAUAAGCGCCUUUUUGGAUUUGUGCUUAGAACUUCAGGAGGGAGAGUCGAGAGCCGCCAAACUUCCAUCUGCUAUAUAUUUGAAUCAAACAAUGAAGGGGAAAAGAUUUGUGACUCUGUUGGACUGGCAAAACAGAUAGCUUUUCAUGCAGAACUGGAUCGAAAAGCAUCAGAAAAGCAAAAAGAAAUAGAUAGAGUCAAAGAGAAACAACAGAAAGAACUGAAUAAACAAAAACAAAUUGAAAAGGACUUAGAGGAGCAAAGCCGGUUGAUAGCUGCUUCCAGCAGGUCGAACCAGAGCAGCGGAGAAGGACAAUUUGUAGUCCUUAGCAGCAGCCAGUCGGAAGACAGUGACUUAGGAGAAGAUGGAAAGAAGAAGAGAGAAUCCGAAGCCUAAGGUUGCCUACUUCAUUAAAAUUGGAACCUUGGAUAUAUCUGUUGAAAUGGCACAAGUUCUACAAGAAGUGAAAUACUGAUCUUUCAAGCACUUCCAACUGAAGCUGCAGUUUGCUUCAUGGGCAUCUACUAUUAUUUCAGACACUCCUGAAAAUAAUCUUUCAAGUACACGAUUUUAAAGUGACUUUGCAUAGGUACUGGAUCAGCAGUGGUGUCAGGACUAACUUUUUAUGUUGCUAAUUGUAACCUCAUAGUUACCACCUCAUUUUUCCCCUUAGGUAAGGGGAUAUUAAGUUUGUUAUGCUAUCUAGAUUUACACACUGCAGACCAAGCAGGUUUUCCUGGCAGUUGUUUCAAGCUACAUACGUUCUUUAUGUAUGUAAUGUCAUGAGCAUCAAAUACAAAUGUGCUUAUGGGUAUGCAUUUUAGUGCAUUGUAGAUAAUACCUAGCACUCCUCUGUGGCCACUAACAGAUUUCUCCACGUUUAAAUCAGAGGACAAGUUAAGAGUCAUAAGCAACUUAUCCUUAUAUAACUGGUUACAGGCAGGUAGUGUAAACUAAUUUGAAUGUGAUAGUCUAUUACUUCCUUCAUCUGUUUAGGAUUGAAAUUGUAUCAAGACAACGUACUAUCUAACAGUAAAGUAACGAUUAAGAGUUAAGGAACAUUCCCCCUCUACAGUGCUGUCAGAUUUCAUCUUUAUAUCGAUGUAAACCCAGAGCUGAAAAUCCUGAAACAGCUGAAGGUAUUUAUGAAGAUAUAAUUUAUGUACGUUGAUAUAAAGAAGCAAAUUUGACUGUGCAUAUGUUUCAGGUAAAUUAUGAAGAAUUAGUUGCACAGAAUUUAGGAGAAGCCAAUGGAGAAAACUGUGUUAUGAGACAGUCUCUUGUUAUUUUGGAAAUAAUUCACAUAAGUGAAACCUGCCUCUGCUCAGUGAAUUUAGUACAGAUAUAGUCUAGUCUAACGGCAAGAGCUGAUAUUUUAUAUUCUUUCUGUUGCUCUAUUUCACAAAAUUUCUUGCAAGCCAGUUAGGCUCCAAGGCUCUUCUUUUUAACCAAGCAGUAAGUUGAUUUGUAUUUUCCUGCCAUAGCGGUAUCUCAGUUGUCAUGACAAGAAUAAGUCAGUGUGUCAUUGUGAAUGCACUUGUAUUCCUGAUGAAGUUUAUAUUGCAAGCCAAGGAUUUUGUACAAUCUUUCAGGUCAUUUUUAUAAUGGAGUGGAGUGGUCAAAUUCUUAUGAUGAUGUUCUGGACUGGUCCUGUUCUAGUGAAGUGUAAGUGAUUUUUGCAAUGUUUGAGACUGACUUGCACAUUUUCCCUGAAUAGCUGUAUUAAAAACCUCCGAUGGCAUACUUCAGCUUCGAUUGUUGUGUCUUAAUCUUGGAAACUUGGAUAGUGAACAUAUUGUGACAGGGCUUCAGUCAGCAUUUUGUAGAUUAAAUAAAAGCUUAACUAUAAUAACUUUCUGGGUGGGAUUUGUACUGAUGCAAAAACCUCCUGUGUUUUUCAUAAUACUGACUUCCAGGAAGUACCAUUUACUGGUGACAGGAUGCAUUGCCUUCCAUUAAACAAAGUUUUCACGUUGAGUUCUAUCCCUCUGUUGUCAAACUGUAUUGCAAUUCUCUUAAUUGUAAUCAUGUUAGCCAGAUAACCUCAGAGGAAGUUAUUGUACUUGGGAAUGCCGAUCAACAAUCAAAGACCGGUAGAAGAUGAUCCUUCCCAUGGUAGCUGGCUGUUUGGUGCCCAUGUUUUAGCCCCAUGAGAAGGUGCAGCACUCUGCAGAGCUGUGGUUAUGGUAACGAUCAGAAUUCGCGUACCAGCACAACUGUUAACAUGGGUACUGAUACAUCUCUUCACAGGCUUCAUUCGUCUAUUAUAUGAUAAACACCAUGUAAAAAGCAAUGGGUCAUAACUACAGUAUGGUUAAAUUUGUAUUUUAUAAGGUUUGUAGAUUUUUCUGGGGAAAAGCAGACUUUUGAAUUAUGUAACUUCUGUGAUAAAGAUGCAUGUAUAACUAGAAAAAAAUAUCUAUGCUUAACUGAUAAUGAAGGAAUAAAUACUACUAAUGCCAA
Chroicocephalus ridibundus (black-headed gull) is the source of this 4289-nucleotide RNA transcript. It is a transcript of the gene named adaptor protein, phosphotyrosine interacting with PH domain and leucine zipper 1, with no coding region annotated. Lineage: Eukaryota; Metazoa; Chordata; Aves; Charadriiformes; Laridae. The transcript is spliced from 23 exons. The record is from RefSeq and is a predicted model, not a curated record.